GUCGAACGCUGGCGGCGUGCUUAACACAUGCAAGUCGAACGGAAAGGCCUCUUUCGGGGGGUACUCGAGUGGCGAACGGGUGAGUAACACGUGAGUAACCUGCCCUUGACUUUGGGAUAACUUCAGGAAACUGGGGCUAAUACCGGAUAGGAGCUCCUGCUGCAUGGUGGGGGUUGGAAAGUUUCGGCGGUUGGGGAUGGACUCGCGGCUUAUCAGCUUGUUGGUGGGGUAGUGGCUUACCAAGGCUUUGACGGGUAGCCGGCCUGAGAGGGUGACCGGCCACAUUGGGACUGAGAUACGGCCCAGACUCCUACGGGAGGCAGCAGUGGGGAAUAUUGCACAAUGGGUGGAAGCCUGAUGCAGCAACGCCGUGUGCGGGAUGACGGCCUUCGGGUUGUAAACCGCUUUCGCUCAUGACGAAGCUUUGUGUGACGGUAGUGGGUAAAGAAGCACCGGCUAACUACGUG
This 467-nucleotide ribosomal RNA is filed under the name uncultured bacterium. Its description in RNAcentral is "partial 16S ribosomal RNA". It matches the Rfam family "Bacterial small subunit ribosomal RNA", at positions 28 to 507 of the family's 1533-position model. The record is from RNAcentral.